RNAcentral lists this ribosomal RNA (468 nucleotides) under uncultured bacterium. RNAcentral describes it as "bacterial SSU rRNA". It matches the Rfam family "Bacterial small subunit ribosomal RNA", at positions 28 to 507 of the family's 1533-position model. The record is from RNAcentral.
GAUGAACGCUGGCGGCGUGCUUAACACAUGCAAGUCGAACGAAGAUGCCGGAGUGCUUGCACUUUGGCAGACUGAGUGGCGGACGGGUGAGUAACGCGUGGGUAACCUGCCUUAUACAGGGGGAUAACAGUUGGAAACGACUGCUAAUACCGCAUAAGCGCACGGUAUCGCAUGAUACAGUGUGAAAAACUCCGGUGGUAUAAGAUGGACCCGCGUCUGAUUAGCUUGUUGGUGAGGUAACGGCCCACCAAGGCGACGAUCAGUAGCCGGCCUGAGAGGUGAACGGCACAUUGGGACUGAGACACGGCCCAAAACUCCUACGGGAGGCAGCAGUGGGGAAUAUUGCACAAUGGGGGAACCCUGAUGCAGCGACGCCGCGUGAGUGAUGAAGUAUUUCGGUAUGUAAAGCUCUAUCAGCAGGGAAGAAAAUGAACGGUACCUGACUAAGAAGNACCGGCUAAAUACGUG